UACGUAGGGUGCAAGCGUUAAUCGGAAUUACUGGGCGUAAAGCGUGCGCAGGCGGUUGUGUAAGACAGAUGUGAAAUCCCCGGGCUCAACCUGGGAACUGCAUUUGUGACUGCACAGCUGGAGUGCGGCAGAGGGGGGAUGGAAUUCCGCGUGUAGCAGUGAAAAUGCGUAGAUAUGCGGAGGAAACACCGAUGGCGAAGGCAAUCCC
Molecule: ribosomal RNA, 208 nt
Filed under: uncultured bacterium
Lineage: Bacteria
Description: partial 16S ribosomal RNA
Rfam family: Bacterial small subunit ribosomal RNA
Source: RNAcentral